Molecule: ribosomal RNA, 91 nt
Filed under: uncultured bacterium
Lineage: Bacteria
Description: partial 16S ribosomal RNA
Rfam family: Bacterial small subunit ribosomal RNA
Source: RNAcentral
CCCGUCACAUCACGAAAGUGGAUUGUACUAGAAGUCUGCGCGCCAACCCGCAAGGAGGCAGCGGCCCAAGGUAUGAUUCAUGAUUGGGGUG